Molecule: ribosomal RNA, 460 nt
Filed under: uncultured bacterium
Lineage: Bacteria
Description: partial 16S ribosomal RNA
Rfam family: Bacterial small subunit ribosomal RNA
Source: RNAcentral
UCUACGGGUGGCAGCAGUGAGGAAUAUUGGUCAAUGGGCGAGAGCCUGAACCAGCCAAGUCGCGUGAAGGAUGACGGCCCUACGGGUUGUAAACUUCUUUUGUCAGGGAGCAAUUGGGUCCACGCGUGGGCUUCGCGGGAGUACCUGAAGAAAAAGCCUCGGCUAACUCCGUGCCAGCAGCCGCGGUAAUACGGAGGAUGCGAGCGUUCGCCGGAUUGAUUGGGUUUAAAGGGUGCGUAGGCGGAAUAUCAAGUCAGCGGUAAACAUUCGGGGCUCAACCCCGUCGUGCCGUUGAAACGUUUGUUCUUGAGUGGGCGAGAAGUAUGCGGAAUGCGUGGUGUAGCGGUGAAAUGCAUAGAUAUCACGCAGAACUCCGAUUGCGAAGGCAGCAUACCGGCGCCCAACUGACGCUGAAGCACGAAAGCGUGGGUAUCGAACAGGAUUAGAUACCCUUGUAGUC